This 600-nucleotide ribosomal RNA is filed under the name Penicillium simplicissimum. RNAcentral describes it as "eukaryotic LSU rRNA". The stretch from base 226 to 379 matches the Rfam family "5.8S ribosomal RNA". The record is from RNAcentral. Lineage: Eukaryota; Fungi; Ascomycota; Eurotiomycetes; Eurotiales; Aspergillaceae.
AAAGGUCCGUAACAAGGUUUCCGUAGGUGAACCUGCGGAAGGAUCAUUACCGAGUGAGGGCCCUCUGGGUCCAACCUCCCACCCGUGUUUAUCGUACCUUGUUGCUUCGGCGGGCCCGCCUCACGGCCGCCGGGGGGCAUCCGCCCCCGGGCCCGCGCCCGCCGAAGACACCAAUGAACUCUUGUCUGAAGAUUGCAGUCUGAGCAGAUUAGCUAAAUCAGUUAAAACUUUCAACAACGGAUCUCUUGGUUCCGGCAUCGAUGAAGAACGCAGCGAAAUGCGAUAAGUAAUGUGAAUUGCAGAAUUCAGUGAAUCAUCGAGUCUUUGAACGCACAUUGCGCCCCCUGGUAUUCCGGGGGGCAUGCCUGUCCGAGCGUCAUUGCUGCCCUCAAGCACGGCUUGUGUGUUGGGCUUCGCCCCCCGGCUCCCGGGGGGCGGGCCCGAAAGGCAGCGGCGGCACCGCGUCCGGUCCUCGAGCGUAUGGGGCUUUGUCACCCGCUCUGUAGGCCCGGCCGGCGCCCGCCGGCGACCCCAAAUCAAUCUAUCCAGGUUGACCUCGGAUCAGGUAGGGAUACCCGCUGAACUUAAGCAUAUCAAUAA